RNAcentral lists this ribosomal RNA (440 nucleotides) under uncultured bacterium. Its description in RNAcentral is "partial 16S ribosomal RNA". It matches the Rfam family "Bacterial small subunit ribosomal RNA", at positions 338 to 795 of the family's 1533-position model. The record is from RNAcentral.
CCUACGGGAGGCAGCAGUGGGGAAUAUUGCACAAUGGGGGAAACCCUGAUGCAGCGACGCCGCGUGAGUGAAGAAGUAUCUCGGUAUUUAAAGCUCUAUCAGCAGGGAAGAAAAUGACGGUACCUGACUAAGAAGCCCCGGCUAACUACGUGCCAGCAGCCGCGGUAUUACGUAGGGGCCAAGCGUUAUCCGGAUUUACUGGGUGUAAAGGGAGCGUAGACGGGUGUGCAAGUCAGGAGUGAAAGCCCAUGGCUUAACCAUGGUACUUCUCUGGAAACUGGGGAGCUUGAGUGCGGUAGGGGCAGGCGGAAUUCCUGGUGUAGCGGUGAAAUGCGUAGAUAUUAGGAGGAACACCGGAGGCGAAGGCGGCCUGCUAGACCGUAACUGACGUUGAGGCUCGAAAGCGUGGGGAGCAAACAGGAUUAGAUACCCGAGUAGUC